RNAcentral lists this unclassified non-coding RNA (353 nucleotides) under soil metagenome. RNAcentral's name for it is "partial contains 5.8S ribosomal RNA, internal transcribed spacer 2, and large subunit ribosomal RNA". The stretch from base 1 to 120 matches the Rfam family "5.8S ribosomal RNA", at positions 35 to 154 of the family's 154-position model. The record is from RNAcentral.
GAUGAAGAACGCAGCGAAAUGCGAUAAGUAAUGUGAAUUGCAGAAUUCAGUGAAUCAUCGAAUCUUUGAACGCACAUUGCGCCCGCCAGUAUUCUGGCGGGCAUGCCUGUUCGAGCGUCAUUACAACCCUCAGGCCCCCGGGCCUGGCUUUGGGGAUCGGCGGAAGCCCCCUGCGGGCACAACGCCGUCCCCCAAAUACAGUGGCGGUCCCGCCGCAGCUUCCAUUGCGUAGUAGCUAACACCUCGCAACUGGAGAGCGGCGCGGCCACGCCGUAAAACACCCAACUUCUGAAUGUUGACCUCGAAUCAGGUAGGAAUACCCGCUGAACUUAAGCAUAUCAAUAAGCGGAGGA